This 253-nucleotide ribosomal RNA is filed under the name uncultured bacterium. RNAcentral describes it as "partial 16S ribosomal RNA". It matches the Rfam family "Bacterial small subunit ribosomal RNA", at positions 524 to 776 of the family's 1533-position model. The record is from RNAcentral.
UACAGAGGUGGCAAGCGUUGUUCGGAAUUACUGGGCGUAAAGGGCGCGUAGGCGGCCAUCUAAGUCGGGUGUGAAAGCCCCGGGCUCAACCUGGGAAUUGCAUUCGAGACUGAAUGGCUAGGGUGCGGAAGAGGGAAGCGGAAUUUCCGGUGUAGCAGUGAGAUGCGUAGAUAUCGGAAGGAACACCAGUGGCGAAAGCGGCUUCCUGGUCCAGCACCGACGUUCAGGCACGAAAGCGUGGGGAGCAAACAGG